GACGAACGCUGGCGGCGUGCUUCACACAUGCAAGUCGAACGGUGAAAUCCCUUCGGGGAUGGAUCAGUGGCGAACGGGUGAGUAACACGUGGGCAACCUGCCCCUGACUCUGGGAUAACCCCGGGAAACCGGAGCUAAUACCGGAUAUGACCUCUGACCGCAUGGUCUGGAGGUGGAAAGUUUUUCGGUCAGGGAUGGGCCCGCGGCCUAUCAGCUUGUUGGCGGGGUAACGGCCCACCAAGGCGACGACGGGUAGCCGGCCUGAGAGGGCGACCGGCCACACUGGGACUGAGACACGGCCCAGACUCCUACGGGAGGCAGCAGUGGGGAAUAUUGCGCAAUGGGCGAAAGCCUGACGCAGCGACGCCGCGUGAGGGAUGAAGGCCUUCGGGUUGUAAACCUCUUUCAGCUCCGACGAAGCGAAAGUGACGGUAGGAGCAGAAGAAGCACCGGCCAACUACGUGCCAGCAGCCGCGGUAAUACGUAGGGUGCAAGCGUUGUCCGGAAAUAUUGGGCGUAAAAAGCUCGUAGGCGGUUUGUCGCGUCGGCUGUGAAAACUCGAGGCUCAACCUCGGGCCUGCAGCCGAUACGGGCAAACUAGAGUUUGGUAGGGGAGACUGGAAUUCCUGGUGUAGCGGUGGAAUGCGCAGAUAUCAGGAGGAACACCGGUGGCGAAGGCGGGUCUCUGGGCCAAAACUGACGCUGAGGAGCGAAAGCGUGGGGAGCGAACAGGAUUAGAUACCCUGGUAGUCCACGCCGUAAACGUUGGGCGCUAGGUGUGGGGACCAUUCCAUGGUUUCCGUGCCGCAGCUAACGCAUUAAGCGCCCCGCCUGGGGAGUACGGCCGCAAGGCUAAAACUCAAAGGAAUUGACGGGGGCCCGCACAAGCGGCGGAGCAUGUUGCUUAAUUCGAUGCAACGCCAAGAACCUUACCAAGGCUUGACAUGCAGGGAAAUCCGUCAGAGAUGGCGAGUCCGCAAGGGUCCUGCACAGGUGGUGCAUGGUUGUCGUCAGCUCGUGUCGUGAGAUGUUGGGUUAAGUCCCGCAACGAGCGCAACCCUCGUCCUAUGUUGCCAGCGAGUAAUGUCGGGGACUCAUAGGAGACUGCCGGGGUCAACUCGGAGGAAGGUGGGGAUGAGGUCAAAUCAUCAUGCCCCUUAUGUCUUGGGCUGCAAACAUGCUACAAUGGCCGGUACAAAGGGCUGCGAAACCGCAAGGUGAAGCGAAUCCCAAAAAGCCGGUCUCAGUUCGGAUUGGGGUCUGCAACUCGACCCCAUGAAGUCGGAGUCGCUAGUAAUCGCAGAUCAGCAACGCUGCGGUGAAUACGUUCCCGGGCCU
This 1338-nucleotide ribosomal RNA is filed under the name uncultured bacterium. Its description in RNAcentral is "bacterial SSU rRNA". It matches the Rfam family "Bacterial small subunit ribosomal RNA", at positions 28 to 1381 of the family's 1533-position model. The record is from RNAcentral.